RNAcentral lists this antisense RNA (75 nucleotides) under Streptomyces caatingaensis. Its description in RNAcentral is "ASpks TB sRNA". It matches the Rfam family "ASpks TB sRNA". Lineage: Bacteria; Bacillati; Actinomycetota; Actinomycetes; Kitasatosporales; Streptomycetaceae. The record is from Rfam by way of RNAcentral.
CUUGACCGAACCGAGGUACAGCGGCUGUCCGUCGGCGCGCUCGCGCCCGUAGGUCGCCAGCAGGGCCUGGGCCUC